ACGCACGCUGGCGGCGUGCUUAACACAUGCCAGUCGAACGGAAAGGCCCUGCUUUUGUGGGGUGCUCGAGUGGCGAACGGGUGAGUAACACGUGAGUAACCUGCCCUUGACUUUGGGAUAACUUCAGGAAACUGGGGCUAAUACCGGAUAGGAGCUCCUGCUGCAUGGUGGGGGUUGGAAAGUUUCGGCGGUUGGGGAUGGACUCGCGGCUUAUCAGCUUGUUGGUGGGGUAGUGGCUUACCAAGGCUUUGACGGGUAGCCGGCCUGAGAGGGUGACCGGCCACAUUGGGACUGAGAUACGGCCCAGACUCCAACGGGAGGCAGCAGUGGGAAAUAUUGCACAAUGGGCGGAAGCCUGAUGCAGCGACGUCGCGUGCGGGAUGACGGCCUUCGGGUUGUAAACCGCUUUCGACUGAGACGAAGCGUUAGUGACGGUAAUGGGUAAAGAAGCACCGGCUAACUACGUG
This 467-nucleotide ribosomal RNA is filed under the name uncultured bacterium. RNAcentral describes it as "partial 16S ribosomal RNA". It matches the Rfam family "Bacterial small subunit ribosomal RNA", at positions 29 to 507 of the family's 1533-position model. The record is from RNAcentral.